RNAcentral lists this ribosomal RNA (577 nucleotides) under Colletotrichum gloeosporioides. RNAcentral describes it as "eukaryotic LSU rRNA". The stretch from base 202 to 355 matches the Rfam family "5.8S ribosomal RNA". Lineage: Eukaryota; Fungi; Ascomycota; Sordariomycetes; Glomerellales; Glomerellaceae. The record is from RNAcentral.
GCCUGCGGAGGGAUCAUURCUGAGUUACCGCUCUAUAACCCUUUGUGAACGUACCUAACCGUUGCUUCGGCGGGCAGGGGAAGCCUCUCGCGGGCCUCCCCUCCCGGCGCCGGCCCCCACCACGGGGACGGGGCGCCCGCCGGAGGAAACCAAACUCUAUUUACACGACGUCUCUUCUGAGUGGCACAAGCAAAUAAUUAAAACUUUUAACAACGGAUCUCUUGGUUCUGGCAUCGAUGAAGAACGCAGCGAAAUGCGAUAAGUAAUGUGAAUUGCAGAAUUCAGUGAAUCAUCGAAUCUUUGAACGCACAUUGCGCUCGCCAGCAUUCUGGCGAGCAUGCCUGUUCGAGCGUCAUUUCAACCCUCAAGCACCGCUUGGUUUUGGGGCCCCACGGCCGACGUGGGCCCUUAAAGGUAGUGGCGGACCCUCCCGGAGCCUCCUUUGCGUAGUAACUAACGUCUCGCACUGGGAUCCGGAGGGACUCUUGCCGUUAAACCCCCAAAUUCUUUACAGGUUGACCUCGGAUCAGGUAGGAAURCCCGCUGAACUUAAGCAUAUCAUAAACCGGGAGAGGAA